RNAcentral lists this ribosomal RNA (800 nucleotides) under uncultured bacterium. Its description in RNAcentral is "bacterial SSU rRNA". It matches the Rfam family "Bacterial small subunit ribosomal RNA", at positions 8 to 803 of the family's 1533-position model. The record is from RNAcentral.
AGAGUUUGAUCAUGGCUCAGAUUGAACGCUGGCGGAAUGCUUUACACAUGCAAGUCGAACGGGCUUAAGGAGCUUGCUCCUUAAGUUAGUGGCGAACGGGUGAGUAAUAUAUCGGAACGUAUCCAAUAAUGGGGGAUAACUAAUCGAAAGGUUGGCUAAUACCGCAUACGCCCUACGGGGGAAAGCUAGGGACCUUCGGGCCUGGCGUUAAUGGAGCGGCCGAUAUCUGAUUAGCUAGUUGGUGGGGUAAAGGCCCACCAAGGCGACGAUCAGUAGCUGGUCUGAGAGGACGACCAGCCACACUGGAACUGAGACACGGUCCAGACUCCUACGGGAGGCAGCAGUGGGGAAUUUUGGACAAUGGGCGAAAGCCUGAUCCAGCCAUUCCGCGUGAGUGAAGAAGGCCUUCGGGUUGUAAAGCUCUUUCGCAAGGGAAGAACACUUAGUCUCUAACAUAGACUGAGGUUGACGGUACCUUGAUAAGAAGCACCGGCUAACUACGUGCCAGCAGCCGCGGUAAUACGUAGGGUGCGAGCGUUAAUCGGAAUUACUGGGCGUAAAGCGUGCGCAGGCUGUUUUGUAAGUCAGAUGUGAAAUCCCCGGGCUCAACCUGGGAACUGCGUUUGUGACUGGCGGGCUAGAGUGCGGAAGAGGGAGGUGGAAUUCCACGUGUAGCAGUGAAAUGCGUAGAGAUGUGGAGGAACACCGAUGGCGAAGGCAGCCUCCUGGUCUAGCACUGACGCUCAUGCACGAAAGCGUGGGGAGCAAACAGGAUUAGAUACCCUGGUAGUCCACGCCCU